Pelobates cultripes (western spadefoot toad) is the source of this 825-nucleotide non-coding RNA. NCBI's taxonomy places the organism in Eukaryota, Metazoa, Chordata, Amphibia, Anura, Pelobatidae. The record is from the annotation of a GenBank genome assembly.
CGCACUUAUUGUUAAUUUGCUUAAUUUGUAUUUGUCUUUAAAACUUAACAUAGCAGCAUUCCAGGAUAAACUUUAGGAGGAUAAUUGUAAUAUGUAGAUUUAUCAAACUGAGUCUUUUUUCACAUGUUCCAAUUUAGAACCUAUAUUUGAAAUUUCUUCUCCAGUAAGGAUUAUGGGGAAUUGACAAGAAAAUUUGAAGAUUGUAGGCCUGACUAGCUAAACUGUAAUAUUUACUGAGAUUUUACUAAAAAGUUGCACUGUCACUUAUCAGUACUCCCUAAAGAUGAAAACUUUAUGAAGUACGGUACUCAUGCUGACUUGAAGAGAAUUUUCUUGAAAAGUCAUCAAAAGGCAUAGCUGCACACCCAGCUUGUGUCCAGGUGAUGGCUGUGGGAUUCAAGCAUCACUUUACGGAGACUCUUUUGGUCUCACAGGAUUCUCCAUCGAGCCCAGUAUUGUACUUUAAUGCACGCACAAGAGUACAGCACUGAUGUACUUCUGCCAGGUGAGGCACCAUGAGAUGAAUAGGGUCUACAAAAAUAAAAAGACAUCAGUAGCCACGAGGAACAGCUUAUUGCAUAUAAAACAUGCAUUCCCCUGCACCCCAUGGCUACUGGACCCUAACUGGAUCUGUCACUUUUGAAGGUCAGACCCACUUUAAAAUUGUUUAAUCCUCUUGUCAAUUCUCCACAAUUUUUGGUUUGAUGAAUAAACCCUCAAUUUGUUUUUAGGCAUUAUCUGGAUUGCAAUUGGAGAGAAUUUAGUUAUGUUUUUUUGAAAUAAGUGAUACUAAGACAAUUUUGGACUCAGGUUUCUUAAUCCUAC